RNAcentral lists this ribosomal RNA (530 nucleotides) under Alternaria sp. Po55. RNAcentral's name for it is "eukaryotic LSU rRNA". The stretch from base 177 to 333 matches the Rfam family "5.8S ribosomal RNA". Lineage: Eukaryota; Fungi; Ascomycota; Dothideomycetes; Pleosporales; Pleosporaceae. The record is from RNAcentral.
GGUGAUCAUUACACAAAUAUGAAGGCGGGCUGGAACCUCUCGGGGUUACAGCCUUGCUGAAUUAUUCACCCUUGUCUUUUGCGUACUUCUUGUUUCCUUGGUGGGUUCGCCCACCACUAGGACAAACAUAAACCUUUUGUAAUUGCAAUCAGCGUCAGUAACAAAUUAAUAAUUACAACUUUCAACAACGGAUCUCUUGGUUCUGGCAUCGAUGAAGAACGCAAGCGAAAUGCUGAUAAGUAGUGUGAAUUGCAGAAUUCAGUGAAUCAUCGAAUCUUUGAACCGCACAUUGCGCCCUUUGGUAUUCCAAAGGGCAUGCCUGUUCGAGCGUCAUUUGUACCCUCAAGCUUUGCUUGGUGUUGGGCGUCUUGUCUCUAGCUUUGCUGGAGACUCGCCUUAAAGUAAUUGGCAGCCGGCCUACUGGUUUCGGAGCGCAGCACAAGUCGCACUCUCUAUCAGCAAAGGUCUAGCAUCCAUUAAGCCUUUUUUUCAACUUUUGACCUCGGAUCAGGUAGGGAUACCCGCUGAAC